GGGUACUCGAGUGGCGAACGGGUGAGUAACACGUGGGUGAUCUGCCUUGCACUUCGGGAUAAGCUUGGGAAACUGGGUCUAAUACCCGGAUAGGACAGCUGUUUAGUGUCAGUUGUGGAAAGUUUUUUCGGUGCAAGGUGAGCUCGCGGCCUAUCAGCUUGUUGGUGGGGUAAUGGCCUACCAAGGCGUCGACGGGUAGCCGGCCUGAGAGGGUGUACGGCCACAUUGGGACUGAGAUACGGCCCAGACUCCUACGGGAGGCAGCAGUGGGGAAUAUUGCACAAUGGGCGGAAGCCUGAUGCAGCGACGCCGCGUGGGGGAUGAAGGCCUUCGGGUUGUAAACUCCUUUCGACAGGGACGAAGCGUAAGUGACGGUACCUGUAUAAGAAGCACCGGCUAACUACGUGCCAGCAGCCGCGGUAAUACGUAGGGUGCGAGCGUUGUCCGGAACUACUGGGCGUAAAGAGCUCGUAGGUGGUUUGUCGCGUCGUCUGUGAAAUUCCGGGGCUUAACUCCGGGCGUGCAGGCGAUACGGGCUGACUUGAGUGCUGUAGGGGAGACUGGAAUUCCUGGUGUAGCGGUGAAAUGCGCAGAUAUCAGGAGGAACACCGAUGGCGAAGGCAGGUCUCUGGGCAGUAACUGACGCUGAGGAGCGAAAGCAUGGGUAGCGAACAGGAUUAGAUACCCUGGUAGUCCAUGCCGUAAACGGUGGGCGCUAGGUGUAGGGGGCUUCCACGUCUUCUGUGCCGUAGCUAACGCAUUAAGCGCCCCGCCUGGGGAGUACGCCGCAAGGC
RNAcentral lists this ribosomal RNA (794 nucleotides) under uncultured Actinomycetes bacterium. RNAcentral describes it as "bacterial SSU rRNA". It matches the Rfam family "Bacterial small subunit ribosomal RNA", at positions 85 to 894 of the family's 1533-position model. The record is from RNAcentral. Lineage: Bacteria; Bacillati; Actinomycetota; Actinomycetes.